MicroRNA precursor from Cricetulus griseus (Chinese hamster), 76 nucleotides. The record is from Ensembl. NCBI's taxonomy places the organism in Eukaryota, Metazoa, Chordata, Mammalia, Rodentia, Cricetidae.
CCUGGAACUCGCUUGGUAGACCAGGCUGGCCUCCAACUCGCAGAGAUCAGUCAGCCUCUGCUCCUGAGUGCUGGGA